This is a non-coding RNA of Dipodomys ordii (Ord's kangaroo rat), 65 nucleotides long. The record is from Rfam. NCBI's taxonomy places the organism in Eukaryota, Metazoa, Chordata, Mammalia, Rodentia, Heteromyidae.
GGUGGCUCAGUGGUAGAGCACUUGCCUUGCAGGCGUGAGGCCCUGGGUUCGAUUCCUCAGCACCA